CUCGCUGACGAGCGGCGGACGGGUGAGUAACGCGUAGGAAUCUGCCCAAUAGUGGGGGAUAGCCCGGGGAAACUCGGAUUAAUACCCUAUAAUAUUUACUACUCGCAUGAGUUGGUAUCUUAAAACUCCGGUGGUUAUAGAUGGGCAUGCGGCCUAUUAGUUUGUUGGUGAGGUAACGGCUCACCAAGACUACGAUAGGUAGGGGUUCUGAGAGGAUGGUCAGCCACACUGGGACUGAGAUACGGCCCAGACUCC
RNAcentral lists this ribosomal RNA (255 nucleotides) under uncultured bacterium. Its description in RNAcentral is "partial 16S ribosomal RNA". It matches the Rfam family "Bacterial small subunit ribosomal RNA", at positions 84 to 339 of the family's 1533-position model. The record is from RNAcentral.